RNAcentral lists this ribosomal RNA (301 nucleotides) under uncultured bacterium. RNAcentral's name for it is "partial 16S ribosomal RNA". It matches the Rfam family "Bacterial small subunit ribosomal RNA", at positions 509 to 807 of the family's 1533-position model. The record is from RNAcentral.
CAGCCGCCACGGGAAUACGUAGGUGGCAAGCGUUGUCCGGAAUUAUUGGGCGUAAAGGGCUCGCAGGCGGUUUCUUAAGUCUGAUGUGAAAGCCCCCGGCUCAACCGGGGAGGGUCACUGGAAACUGGGAAACUUGAGUGCAGAAGAGGAGAGUGGAAUUCCACGUGUAGCGGUGAAAUGCGUAGAGAUGUGGAGGAACACCAGUGGCGAAGGCGACUCUCUGGUCUGUAACUGACGCUGAGGAGCGAAAGCGUGGGGAGCGAACAGGAUUAGAUACCCGGGUAGUCCCUGUCUCUUAUAC